UGGCUCAGUCAGUUGAGCGCGGCGCUAACAACGCCAAGGUCGCGGGUUCGAUUCCCGU
Molecule: non-coding RNA, 58 nt
Organism: Apaloderma vittatum (bar-tailed trogon)
Lineage: Eukaryota; Metazoa; Chordata; Aves; Trogoniformes; Trogonidae
Source: Rfam